GAGAAUCAAUUAAUUCUUAAAUUAAAAGAUUCUAGAUUUGUUCAAUUCACUAUGUGUUCGAUGUCCUCAAUAUGGUCAUGGAGAAGAUUUCUCCCGGACAAUAGCAAGUGAAAAAAAAAGGUAUGAUCCACUAUUUUAAUUCAUUUUUCUUAGUUUUGUGCAAGAGUUUUAGGGAUUAGAUCUUCCUUCCGCUAUUACUUUUUUCAUUAAUCUUCGAUAGACGUAUUUGAUAUCUGUCAUGUGAAUAAAAGAUCUGAAAUUAUUUUAUCGUUCAUCAUAAAUUUCUUUAAUGAUAAUAUUUUUUUCAAUUUCUUACUAUUGAAGUUAUCAUAGGACAAGGAGAAGAUAAAGAGGUUGUUUUUUAAAGAUCCCGAAUCAGGUAAAAUUGAGUUUGCGUAGUUGCAUCUCAAAAUUAUUUAUAAUGAUAGUAAACUUGGUGUCUUAUUCCACUUAUCCCUGAGAUAAAUCGUACUCUUCAAAAUCAUAAAACUGACCAAUGUAACAGAGAAGCUACAAGCAUUUCCACAAAAUUGCGAGAAAAUAUUCUUAUGUUUGAACAUGCCUCACAUCAAGUUUCAGAAGCUCAAUAUAAAUCAAAAUGGAAAAGAAGGUUUUCCAAACUAGCAGUAUGUAUCUACGCAAUAUGAAUUCAGAUCAGAAUCCAUAUUUGAGAAAAUUAAAAGAAGUAAAAUUGUUGAGUAUAUUGCGAAAGAGAGAGAGCCUGUCUGUGGCAAUAGCUGAGCCCCUGCAGACAUUCAAGAAUAUAUACAGCAGCGGGAGGAUUAGGUUUGUUUUGUUUUGUUUUGUUUUCUAAGCUUUAGUUUUACUGUAUCGAUGUAGAAGAGGUGAGCAAGCUACACAACUUUGGUCAAUUUUUGCUAGUAACAUUUACAUGCACUUACCAUUAAAUAUGUGAAAGAAAAUUCACUUGAUAUGACUAUUAUUUUUAUUAGAUCUAUGUAUUUAGUGUUAUGAAUGUUAUAAGCUCUAUUUGGGUG
Molecule: long non-coding RNA, 998 nt
Filed under: Capsicum annuum
Lineage: Eukaryota; Viridiplantae; Streptophyta; Magnoliopsida; Solanales; Solanaceae
Description: long non-coding RNA (CANN_LNC003783)
Source: RNAcentral